Molecule: ribosomal RNA, 301 nt
Filed under: Cucullanus bulbosus
Lineage: Eukaryota; Metazoa; Nematoda; Chromadorea; Rhabditida; Cucullanidae
Description: SSU rRNA
Rfam family: Eukaryotic small subunit ribosomal RNA
Source: RNAcentral
ACGGCUCAUUACAACUGCUAUAAUUUACUUGAUCCAGAUUAUCCUACAUGGAUAACUGUGGUAAUUCAAGAGCUAAUACAUCCACCGUAGCUCCGACUCUCGGACGAGCGCAUUUAAUAGAACAAAACCAAUCGGGACUCGGCCCGCUCUAUGCUGACUCUGAUUAACUAAGCUGAUCGCUUGGUCUUGCACCGGCGUCGUGUCUUUCAAGUUUCUGCCUUAUGAACUAUCGAUGGUAGUAUAUGUGACUACCUUGGUUGUAACGGGUAACGGAGAAUAAGGGUUCGUCUCCGGAGUGGGA